CUACGCCGACUCUACGAUCUCAAAUACAGAUUGACAUAAGCUUAGAUGGAUCGUCCAGGGAAAACUCCGCAAGAGAAUACUGAUGACAAGCCAGCAACUGUCAGAGGGGUAAUUAUCCCAGAAAACAAUGAGGCAAGGCUUGCCCAGCUACAGCAAGCCUUAAACCUAUUUAGGAGUGGAUUGCAGCUAAUUUCUGAAGCCCUCAAUACCAUGGGACAGAUAAUUCCACCUGAACCAGAUCCUUAAUCCUAAGAA
Molecule: non-coding RNA, 255 nt
Organism: Pocillopora verrucosa
Lineage: Eukaryota; Metazoa; Cnidaria; Anthozoa; Scleractinia; Pocilloporidae
Source: RefSeq, a predicted model, not a curated record